Musca domestica (house fly) is the source of this 1960-nucleotide long non-coding RNA. RefSeq lists it as uncharacterized. The record is from RefSeq and is a predicted model, not a curated record. NCBI's taxonomy places the organism in Eukaryota, Metazoa, Arthropoda, Insecta, Diptera, Muscidae. The transcript is spliced from 3 exons.
UGUAUUACUAAAGACUUCACAAGAAUGCCUCGUGGUUUGGAUGAACUUGCAAACUAGAAAGCUACAAAAUUUCAUCAAUACUUAUUGUACACUGGUGUUUUAGUCUUAAAAAACCAUAUUGGUGAUGAUUUUUAUUACACGUUUUUAGUCUUUCAUUGUGCAAUAAGGCUUUUUUUUUCCUCAAAACGUUUCUAUAAUGUGCACAGUUUGCUUCAUGUAUAUGAAUGCGUCAAACAUCACGGUUUGUUGUACAGCUUUUCAGCAUAUGGUUUUGAGAACCACUUGCAAAUGAUAAAAAAAAGAUGUUCGCAAACCAACUGAUAUCAUGAAUCAAUUACACAGACGAAAUAUCGAAAUUUAAAAGAAGAGCCAAAAACAUGGGGUUAAAAGAAAAAAUUGACUUAUUUAUGGUUACUUAGGUGAUGAAUACUGGUUGAGUAUUAAAACACCAGACAACAUUUGUCUUGUAAUUGAAUAUUGAAAACACUAUCUACAAAAUAAUAUCAUUGCCCUUUGAAAAUAAAGUUCUUUUAAUGCCAAUUCUUCAUAGUUGCAUUUAAAGUUGUAAAAAGCUAAAAAAAUCUAAUAUUCUUAAUAUAGCCAACACUUAUUAUCUACACAAUUCUAACUGUUAUUGUCUACACAAUCGUACAACAAUUGUAAUGGAAGGCAGAAAUCUAAAACAUCUAAAUGCUUGCAACAGACUUUAUAAUUACUGUGCCAAAUCAAUGCUCUUUUUGCAUAGAACUCAAUGGUAGUUUUUGUUCAAUAUGGUGUUUCUUCUUUAUUAACAAAAUUGUUUAGUUUAUAGAAAUGAUCAACACUCAAAAUCAAGUAAUGGCUAGAAAAAUGGCUGAACAAAAAAUAUAUAGCAACAGCUCUCAAAAUUACAAAUGACAACAGAACAACAAAACAAAAUAAUAGUGGAAAUGUUAGCAGACCACAAAAUGCAGCUGCAAACCCUCAAUAGUUCCCAAAAAAUGUAACAUUGUUAUACAUUGUAUAACUGUGAAUUGGAGCAUAAUUUAAGUUUUCUUUUUAAAUAGAAUUUAUUAUUUAUCUUUCCUUUUUUCAUUGAAAAGUACCUGCAAAAUGAAUUAUUUAUUUAUAUGUUUUAUACAAUACACAAAUCCGUUGUUUAAUUUCUUGUUUUUCUCUGAGUGUAUAUAUCGUUAAAACUGUUAUACUUUCGUAGCUGUUCAUAUUAAAUUCACAUUAAAAUAAUCUAUAAAUUAUUAUUUAUCAUAUUAAGCUUAAAGUGCUAAGUAAGAUUAACAGUAUUAAAAAUAUGUACACUCAGAGAAAAGCGCAAAAGUACUCUAUGGACUAUUUUGGAUUAGUUUUGAACUACCCCUGGUCUGUUAUGGACUACUUUUUAGACGCGUGCAUGAAUUAGUCGCAUUAUUUGGAGGGAAUAGUUACAAAGAUUCAAUUGUUCACUAAAACACUCAAUAGCAUUGUUAAAGAAGCAUCUCACAUCAAAAUUUUGGCUCAGAGUUUAAUCAAUUUUGUUGAUAACAUUUUGUAAAAUUAACAUAACAAGUAACAAAAAAAAAAAACGGAUUGAUGGACAUGUAUACAUUUUUUAAACUAGCACGCACAAUAACAUUAGCAUGUAACUGGUACAGCACUGUACAAAAAUGAUCCCCUAUGUCACUUAGAAUAUGGCUGAGUCCUAUAAGAAAUCCAAUUUAAUAUUUUAUCGAAAUUUAAAUUUUGCAAGAGUUAAUAAUCAAAGCCCAUUGAAGUUGCACAACAACAUCUAUUAGUUUACGCACAUUUAAUAGUUUUACUUCAAAAUAUUUCCAGUAACCGUACAAUGUAUCAAUUCACAUUUCAAACAAUUUCCCAGAUCACAAUAAUCGUCAUCAACUAAGUUCACCUGAGGGUGUUUGUCAGUUCACCUACAAGACGCGUCCGCACGGCGGAUAGGGGGGAUGGAUAAUCACACUAUUUUGCU